Ornithorhynchus anatinus (platypus) is the source of this 847-nucleotide long non-coding RNA. RefSeq lists it as uncharacterized. NCBI's taxonomy places the organism in Eukaryota, Metazoa, Chordata, Mammalia, Monotremata, Ornithorhynchidae. The record is from RefSeq and is a predicted model, not a curated record. The transcript has 2 exons.
CGGGAACCCACAGGCCUGGGGGGGGGCGGGGGGCCGAAAGGGAGAGGACGGCGGCGGGGCCCGGGGCCGGCUGAGGGGCUCCGGGGCCUCUUCCAGUGGAGCGGCGGCCACCUUCGGGACUGCCGGACCCGGAUGGGCCGGGGGACUCGCCCCUCAUGGGCUUGCGGUACAGUGCGGGACUCGGGGAGCCGGCUCCCAAGUUGGAAUCGCUCCUACUUUUAUGCCCGGCACCCAGAAGAGCAAGUCACCCCUUGAAGAGCAAGUCACCCCUUCUUCCCUCUCUCUACUGGCCGUGCCCUGCCCAGCAGCAGCAAGGAAGAGCUCUUCCCCUUAGGCGCUGGGUCCGGGAACAGGAGCAGCCAGAAACUGAUGCAGAAAAUGGACGGAAUAGGAGGAGAGGAACCAAACGAAAGCAUAGGAGGGCCGGUAAAAUCCGCCCCUCUUCACAACUUCCACUCGGUAUUUAAGAAAUAUUUAAGAGUGUUAAAGGACCGCUGGUUGUAAUCUCUGAGAACGUACAGUGAAUUGUGUCUGGAGCGGGGAGGGUCAUCAAGACAGGCCCUCCCAAGUACCGUCUUAUGUAUUUGUUGUUCAACGUUCCAUCUUUCUACCACUCCCCCCCACCCCGCCCCGCUUUGUAUUCUCGUUUUCAGAUGCACACUCAGAACCACCUGUAAUACUUUUGAACAUUUCCCGUUAUUUAAGCACUCGGUGACUCACCUGUCUCCAAACUUAUUCUCGUGUCCGUCUCCGGAGUCCUACCAAUGACCCCUACUGACCUCUCCCAAGCGCUUAGUACAGUGUUCUGCACACGAUAGGCUCAGUAAAUAUUGAUGUGUUUCUAUGA